This is a long non-coding RNA of Pocillopora damicornis (cauliflower coral), 224 nucleotides long. Lineage: Eukaryota; Metazoa; Cnidaria; Anthozoa; Scleractinia; Pocilloporidae. The record is from RefSeq and is a predicted model, not a curated record.
CUAUAUUGGCACAAGAAAUCCCGGCUUACAUUCGGAAAACAUCAACCGCAUACAGUCGCUUUAUGGAUCGUGAAGAAACGCAAAUAGCCGAUCGACAGAUGUGUUAAUCAUUGACGAAUUGAAAACGAGGGAUCUUGAUUAUAGUGAUUGUGAGAAAACCAGGUGUUGGGAUAUCAUAGUUCUAAACACAUGGAAUAAAGCUAAUAAAGAUCAAGGUUGAAAUG